UCUAUUGGUGAUGUGGUUCACGGAGUAAGUUCCUUACACUACAGAGCUUCUGGUUUCAAGGGGGUUACCCAAACUGUUUAGCGAGACUUCUUCCGCUUUUCUCCGUGCCUCUCGGUUUUGUUUUUUUUUUUAAUCCGGAUGUGAUGCAUUCAAGGACUCGACGGAAGUAGAACCGAAGGCAUUCUAAAAUGGCGACCCGUCUAGUGAAGGAUGCACACAGCAUCCACGGCACCAACCUUCAGCAUCUGGUGGAGAAGUUCAUUCGAACACGAAUCUAUGAGUCCAACUACUGGAAAGAUGAGUGCUUUGGACUUACGGCUGAUCUUGUAGAGAAUAAAGCCAUUAAGUUAAGAUUUGUGGGUGGCGUCUAUGGUGGCAACACAAAACCAACUCCCUUUCUGUGUUUAACCUUGAAGAUGCUUCAAAUUAAACUCAAGAAGGAUAUCAUUGUAGAGUUCAUCAAAAAUGAAGAUUUCAAGUAUGUCCGCGUGUUGGGGGCAUUUUACAUGAGGCUGACAGGCACUGCAAUUGAUUGCUACAAGUACUUGGAGCCUUUGUACAAUGACUAUCGAAAAAUCAAGAUCCAGAACGGAGAUGGGGAUUUCGAACUGAUGCAUAUAGAUGAGUUUAUUGAUGAACUACUGCACAGCAAGAGAAUGUGUGGUAUCACUCUGCCCUGGCUACAGAAACGCUAUGUGCUAGAGGAAGCUGAGCAACUGGAGCCUCGAGUUAGUGCUCUAGAAGAGGGCAUGGAUGACGUGGAGUCCAGUGAAGAGGAAGAUGAGGGAGUGGCAUCACCUGACCACCGCCAGAGAAGCUACCAAGACUUGGACAAGCCCCAUUGCUCUCCUACGCUGAGCUACGGGAGGAGUAAGAGCCAGUCUUCCAAAAGACAAGAGUCCAUCUCCCCAAAGGAGAAGCCCCUCCCUCCGUCGAGAAAAGCAGGGGAGCAAGAGUCCAAGACAUCGUCGCAACAAGUCCCGAGAUCAACGGCACAGAUCCCGCUCCAAGUCCCGAGGUCAUCACCAUAGUCACAGACACAGGAGCCAUUCAAAGACGAAAAGCCACAAGAAGAGCCGGAAAGGGAAUGAGUAAUGGCCUCAGUUUGCUUUAAGCCCAAAUGGCCUCCUGGGGAUAUGAGGGUAUCUAUGUGGAAGGAUUAAGAUCUCCAACCCAGGUAGCUAUAAGAAUAUUUUAGUUUUUUCUUAUCAAGUUUCUCCAUUUUUUUUUUAAAUGAAAGAGAUGCUGAGUUUUGUAUCUCUGUUUGAAUCGUAAUC
Molecule: RNA transcript, 1277 nt
Organism: Propithecus coquereli (Coquerel's sifaka)
Lineage: Eukaryota; Metazoa; Chordata; Mammalia; Primates; Indriidae
Gene name: pre-mRNA-splicing factor 38A pseudogene
Exons: 1
Source: RefSeq, a predicted model, not a curated record